UGGCUUUCACAGCAAAUAUACUAAAGCUGGAAUGAUACAGAGAAAUUUAGCAUGGUCUCUGCAUAAAGAUGACCUUCACAUUCAUGAAGCAUUCCAUGCGUUU
Molecule: small nuclear RNA, 103 nt
Organism: Jaculus jaculus (lesser Egyptian jerboa)
Lineage: Eukaryota; Metazoa; Chordata; Mammalia; Rodentia; Dipodidae
Source: Ensembl